This 485-nucleotide ribosomal RNA is filed under the name Salmonella enterica. Its description in RNAcentral is "partial 23S ribosomal RNA". It matches the Rfam family "Bacterial large subunit ribosomal RNA", at positions 161 to 688 of the family's 2925-position model. Lineage: Bacteria; Pseudomonadati; Pseudomonadota; Gammaproteobacteria; Enterobacterales; Enterobacteriaceae. The record is from RNAcentral. RNAcentral also lists the same sequence under 1 other name.
AAUCCAUAGGUUAAUGAGGCGAACCGGGGGAACUGAAACAUCUAAGUACCCCGAGGAAAAGAAAUCAACCGAGAUUCCCCCAGUAGCGGCGAGCGAACGGGGAGGAGCCCAGAGCCUGAAUCAGCAUGUGUGUUAGUGGAAGCGUCUGGAAAGGCGCGCGAUACAGGGUGACAGCCCCGUACACAAAAGCGCAUGUGCUGUGAGCUCGAUGAGUAGGGCGGGACACGUGGUAUCCUGUCUGAAUAUGGGGGGACCAUCCUCCAAGGCUAAAUACUCCUGACUGACCGAUAGUGAACCAGUACCGUGAGGGAAAGGCGAAAAGAACCCCGGCGAGGGGAGUGAAAAAGAACCUGAAACCGUGUACGUACAAGCAGUGGGAGCACCCUUUGGGUGUGACUGCGUACCUUUUGUAUAAUGGGUCAGCGACUUAUAUUCUGUAGCAAGGUUAACCGAAUAGGGGAGCCGGAGGGAAACCGAGUCUUAAU